CAGCCGCCGCGGGAAUACGGAGGGUGCAAGCGUUAAUCGGAAUUACUGGGCGUAAAGCGUGCGUAGGCGGUUCGUUAAGACAGAUGUGAAAUCCCCGGGCUUAACCUGGGAACUGCAUUUGUGACUGGCGAGCUAGAGUAUGGCAGAGGGGGGUAGAAUUCCACGUGUAGCAGUGAAAUGCGUAGAGAUGUGGAGGAAUACCGAUGGCGAAGGCAGCCCCCUGGCCAAUACUGACGCUCAUGCACGAAAGCGUGGGGAGCAAACAGGAUUAGAUACCCGCGUAGUCCCUGUCUCUUAUACA
Molecule: ribosomal RNA, 301 nt
Filed under: uncultured bacterium
Lineage: Bacteria
Description: partial 16S ribosomal RNA
Rfam family: Bacterial small subunit ribosomal RNA
Source: RNAcentral